Molecule: ribosomal RNA, 178 nt
Filed under: Vibrio vulnificus
Lineage: Bacteria; Pseudomonadati; Pseudomonadota; Gammaproteobacteria; Vibrionales; Vibrionaceae
Description: partial 23S ribosomal RNA
Rfam family: Bacterial large subunit ribosomal RNA (bases 1-158)
Source: RNAcentral
GAAAGCAUCUAAGCGGGAAGCGAGCCCUGAGAUGAGUCUUCCCUGAUACUUUAAGUAUCCUAAAGGGUUGUUCGAGACUAGAACGUUGAUAGGCAGGGUGUGUAAGCGCUGUGAGGCGUUGAGCUAAGCUGUACUAAUUGCCCGUGAGGCUUAACCAUACAACACCCAAAGGGUUUUG